RNAcentral lists this ribosomal RNA (492 nucleotides) under uncultured bacterium. RNAcentral's name for it is "partial 16S ribosomal RNA". It matches the Rfam family "Bacterial small subunit ribosomal RNA", at positions 29 to 507 of the family's 1533-position model. The record is from RNAcentral.
AGUGAACGCUGGCGGUAGGCCUAACACAUGCAAGUCGAACGGCAGCACAGUAAGAGCUUGCUCUUACGGGUGGCGAGUGGCGGACGGGUGAGGAAUACAUCUGAAUCUACUUUUUCGUGGGGGAUAACGUAGGGAAACUUACGCUAAUACCGCAUACGACCUACGGGUGAAAGCAGGGGAUCUUCGGAUCUUGCGCGAUUGAAUGAGCCGAUGUCGGAUUAGCUAGUUGGCGGGGUAAAGGCCCACCAAGGCGACGAUCCGUAGCUGGUCUGAGAGGAUGAUCAGCCACACUGGAACUGAGACACGGUCCAGACUCCUACGGGAGGCAGCAGUGGGGAAUAUUGGACAAAGGGCGCAAGCCUGAUCCAGCCAUACCGCGUGGGUGAAGAAGGCCUUCGGGUUGUAAAGCCCUUUUGUUGGGAAAGAAAAGCAGCAGGUUAAUACCCCGCUGUUCUGACGGUACCCAAAGAAUAAGCACCGGCUAACUUCGUG